AUUAGAGUUUGAUCCUGGCUCAGAUUGAACGCUGGCGGCAUGCCUAACACAUGCAAGUCGAACGGGGGUAGCGAUACCCUAGUGGCGGACGGGUGAGUAACGCGUAGGAAUCUGCCCCGUAGUGGGGGACAACCUGGGGAAACCCAGGCUAAUACCGCAUGAGCUCGGGAGAGGAAAGCGGGGGACCUUCGGGCCUCGCGCUAUGGGAUGAGCCUACGUCCGAUUAGCUAGUUGGCGGGGUAAGGGCCCACCAAGGCGAUGAUCGGUAGCUGGUCUGAGAGGACGAUCAGCCACACUGGGACUGAGACACGGCCCAGACUCCUACGGGAGGCAGCAGUGGGGAAUAUUGGACAAUGGGCGCAAGCCUGAUCCAGCAAUGCCGCGUGGGUGAAGACGGCCUGCGGGUUGUAAAGCCCUUUAGGCGGGGAGGAACGGCGUCGUGCGAACAGUGCGGCGUUCUGACGUUACCCGCGGAAUAAGCACCGGCUAACUCCGUGCCAGCAGCCGCGGUAAUAAU
Molecule: ribosomal RNA, 517 nt
Filed under: uncultured bacterium
Lineage: Bacteria
Description: bacterial SSU rRNA
Rfam family: Bacterial small subunit ribosomal RNA
Source: RNAcentral